UACGGAGGGUGCAAGCGUUAUCCGGAUUCACUGGGUUUAAAGGGUGCGUAGGUGGAUUAGUAAGUCAGUGGUGAAAUCUCCGGGCUUAACCCGGAAACUGCCAUUGAUACUAUAGAUCUUGAAUUUUCUGGAGGUAAGCGGAAUAUGUCAUGUAGCGGUGAAAUGCUUAGAUAUGACAUAGAACACCAAUUGCGAAGGCAGCUUGCUACAGGGAUAUUGACACUGAGGCACGAAAGCGUGGGGAUCAAACAGG
Molecule: ribosomal RNA, 253 nt
Filed under: uncultured bacterium
Lineage: Bacteria
Description: partial 16S ribosomal RNA
Rfam family: Bacterial small subunit ribosomal RNA
Source: RNAcentral